This 497-nucleotide ribosomal RNA is filed under the name uncultured bacterium. RNAcentral describes it as "partial 16S ribosomal RNA". It matches the Rfam family "Bacterial small subunit ribosomal RNA", at positions 28 to 507 of the family's 1533-position model. The record is from RNAcentral.
GACGAACGCUGGCGGCGUGCCUAAUACAUGCAAGUAGAACGCUGAAGAGAGGAGCUUACUCUUCUUGGAUGAGUUGCGAACGGGUGAGUAACGCGUAGGUAACCUGCCUUGUAGCGGGGGAUAACUAUUGGAAACGAUAGCUAAUACCGCACAACAAUGGAUGACACAUGUCAUUUAUUUGAAAGGGGCAAUUGCUCCACUACAAGAUGGACCUGCGUUGUAUUAGCUAGUAGGUGAGGUAAUGGCUCACCUAGGCGACGAUACAUAGCCGACCUGAGAGGGUGAUCGGCCACACUGGGACUGAGACGCGGCCCAGACUCCUACGGGAGGCAGCAGUAGGGAAUCUUCGGCAAUGGGGGCAACCCUGACCGAGCAACGCCGCGUGAGUGAAGAAGGUUUUCGGAUCGUAAAGCUCUGUUGUAAGUCAAGAACGGGUGUGAGAGUGGAAAGUUCACACUGUGACGGUAGCUUACCAGAAAGGGACGGCUAACUACGUG